Molecule: microRNA precursor, 97 nt
Filed under: Nicotiana sylvestris (wood tobacco)
Lineage: Eukaryota; Viridiplantae; Streptophyta; Magnoliopsida; Solanales; Solanaceae
Also listed under: 1 other name
Description: MIR6152 microRNA precursor family
Rfam family: MIR6152 microRNA precursor family
Source: Rfam by way of RNAcentral
UGGACAGAUUAUUGUAUUCGACUGUAUUCACGGCGUAAAAACAGGGGAUUACACUGUUUUUAAACGGAAAGUGAAUCAAUUAACAUAAUAGACUCCU